GUAGCCGACACCGCAAGGUCGCUGUCGCAUUUUGACAGUCCGUUUUUCUGCGCUCCGCAUUGCGGGGCGCAACCGGCAACGCCGGAAUUUGCCAACCCGCCGAUGGCAUUCAUCGGC
RNAcentral lists this non-coding RNA (117 nucleotides) under Pseudomonas saudiphocaensis. Its description in RNAcentral is "Pseudomon-groES". It matches the Rfam family "Pseudomon-groES RNA". The record is from RNAcentral. Lineage: Bacteria; Pseudomonadati; Pseudomonadota; Gammaproteobacteria; Pseudomonadales; Pseudomonadaceae.